This 488-nucleotide ribosomal RNA is filed under the name uncultured bacterium. Its description in RNAcentral is "partial 16S ribosomal RNA". It matches the Rfam family "Bacterial small subunit ribosomal RNA", at positions 28 to 507 of the family's 1533-position model. The record is from RNAcentral.
GACGAACGCUGGCGGCGUGCUUAACACAUGCAAGUCGAACGGAAAGGCCCUGCUUUUGUGGGGUGCUCGAGUGGCGAACGGGUGAGUAACACGUGAGUAACCUGCCCUUGACUUUGGGAUAUCUUCAGGAAACUGCGGCUAAUACCGGAUAGGAGCUCCUGCUGCAUGGUGGUGGUUGGAAAGUUUCGGCGGUUGGGGCUGGACUCGCGGCUUAUCAGCUUGUUGGUGGGGUAGUGGCUUACCAAGGCUUGGAUGGGUAGCCGGCCUGAGAGGGGGAUCGGCCGCACUGGAAGUGAGACACGGCCCAGAGGCCUACGGGAGGCAGCAGGAGGGAAUCUGGGGCAAUGGGCGGGAGCCUGACGCAGCAGGGCCGCGUGCGUGAUGAAGGUCUUCGGAUCGUAAAACACGGCUAUUGGGGAAGAAAAAAUGUGGACGUGACAAGGACCGUCUUGACGGGAAAUAAUCAAAAAGCCACGGCUAACUACGUG